This 497-nucleotide ribosomal RNA is filed under the name uncultured bacterium. RNAcentral describes it as "partial 16S ribosomal RNA". It matches the Rfam family "Bacterial small subunit ribosomal RNA", at positions 28 to 507 of the family's 1533-position model. The record is from RNAcentral.
GAUGAGCGCUGGCGGCGUGCCUAAUACAUGCAAGUCGAGCGAACGGACGAGAAGCUUGCUUCUCUGAUGUUAGCGGCGGACGGGUGAGUAACACGUGGAUAACCUACCUAUAAGACUGGGAUAACUUCGGGAAACCGGAGCUAAUACCGGAUAAUAUUUUGAACCGCAUGGUUCAAAAGUGAAAGACGGUCUUGCUGUCACUUAUAGAUGGAUCCGCGCUGCAUUAGCUAGUUGGUAAGGUAACGGCUUACCAAGGCAACGAUGCAUAGCCGACCUGAGAGGGUGAUCGGCCACACUGGAACUGAGACACGGUCCAGACUCCUACGGGAGGCAGCAGUAGGGAAUCUUCCGCAAUGGGCGAAAGCCUGACGGAGCAACGCCGCGUGAGUGAUGAAGGUCUUCGGAUCGUAAAACUCUGUUAUUAGGGAAGAACAUAUGUGUAAGUAACUGUGCACAUCUUGACGGUACCUAAUCAGAAAGCCACGGCUAACUACGUG